This 210-nucleotide long non-coding RNA is filed under the name Dunaliella salina. RNAcentral describes it as "long non-coding RNA (DSAL_LNC000091)". The record is from RNAcentral. Lineage: Eukaryota; Viridiplantae; Chlorophyta; Chlorophyceae; Chlamydomonadales; Dunaliellaceae.
UAUCAAACCAGUGUUGUGGUGCCUGAAAUUGGAUUUUUCUUGCAGGGAAUUUGGCAAGCACUUUUGCAGCGUCUGGGUAUUGUUUGAGCCAGCUCAUAUACGCGUUGCAGCUGAAGCCUCUCCAGUGGGGCAGGAGCAUGAAGGUGGCAACUGGAUCUGUGCUUUGGAGGGAGGAAUGCACUACGUGGCGCAUGAGUUUAAACAUUAUUU